AGUGAACGCUGGCGGUAGGCCUAACACAUGCAAGUCGAACGGCAGCACAGUAAGAGCUUGCUCUUACGGGUGGCGAGUGGCGGACGGGUGAGGAAUACAUCGGAAUCUACUUUUUCGUGGGGGAUAACGUAGGGAAACUUACGCUAAUACCGCAUACGACCUACGGGUGAAAGCAGUGGAUCUUCUGACCUUGCGCGAUUGAAUGAGCCGAUGUCGGAUUAGCUAGUUGGCGGGGUAAAGGCCCACCAAGGCGACGAUCCGUAGCUGGUCUGAGAGGAUGAUCAGCCACACUGGAACUGGAACACGGUCCAGACUCCUACGGGAGGCAGCAGUGUGGAAUAUUGGACAGUGGGCGCAAGCAUGAUCCAGCCAUAGCGCGUGGGUGAAGAAGGCCUUCGGGUUGUAAAGCCCUUUUGUUGGGAAAGAAAAGCAGCAGGUUAAUACCCAGCUGUUCUGACGGUAACCAAAGAAUAAGCACCGGCUAACUUCGUG
Molecule: ribosomal RNA, 492 nt
Filed under: uncultured bacterium
Lineage: Bacteria
Description: partial 16S ribosomal RNA
Rfam family: Bacterial small subunit ribosomal RNA
Source: RNAcentral